CACAGCUAUGGUCACCUAGCAGUGUGAAAUUAACAGCGGACCUUGAAGCAAUUCAGAAAAGAUUCACAAAGAAGAUUGUCUCUUUGCAACAGCUCAGCUACUGGGAAAGGUUGAAACAGCUAAGGCUCUACUCUCUGGAGCAAAGGCGGGAGAGGUAUUCAGUAACAUACAUAU
This is a long non-coding RNA of Octopus sinensis (East Asian common octopus), 174 nucleotides long. RefSeq lists it as uncharacterized. The record is from RefSeq and is a predicted model, not a curated record. Lineage: Eukaryota; Metazoa; Mollusca; Cephalopoda; Octopoda; Octopodidae. The transcript has 3 exons.